GGGGCAAUGGGGGUCGCGCUUACUAUGCAGUCGACGCUGAAGCACCAGCUUGCUGGUGUGGAUGAGUGGCGAACGGGUGAGUAAUACGUGAGUAACCUGCCCUUGACUCUGGGAUAAGCCCGGGAAACUGGGUCUAAUACUGGAUGCUACAUGUCACCGCAUGGUGGUGUGUGGAAAGGUUUUACUGGUCUUGGAUGGUCUCACGGCCUAUCAUCUUGUUGGUGAGGUAAUGGCUCACCAAGGCGACCACGGGUAGCCGGCCUGAGAGGGUGACCGGCCACACUGGGACAGACACACGGCCCACAGUCCCGCUGGAGGCAGCCGUGUGGAAUAUUGCGCAGUUGGCGAGCGCCUGAUGCAGCGAGGCCGCGUGAGGUCCGGCUGGCUUCGGGUCGUGCACCUCUCCCAGCAGGGAAGAGGCCACAUGUGACGGUACCUGCAGAGGACGCGCCUGCUAACUACGUGCCAGCAGCCGCGAUAAUACGUAGGGCGCGCGGGGUGUCCGGAAUUAUUGCGCGUAAAGAGCUCUAGCGCUGUUUGUCGCGUCUGCUGUGAAAGCCGGGGUCCUAACCCGGGUUUUGCAGUGUGUACGGGCAGACUAGAGUGCAGUAGGGGGGACUGGAACUCCUGGUGUAGCGGUGGAAUGCGCAGAUAUCAGGAGGAACACCUGAUGGCGGAGGCAGGUCUCUGGGCUGUUACUGACGCUGAGGAGCGAAAGCAUGGGGAGCGAACAGUAUUAGAUCACCCUGGUAGCUCAUGGCGUAAACGUUGGGCACUAGGUGUUGGGGGGACAUUCCACGUUUCCCGGCGCCGUAGCUAACGCAAUAAGUGGCCCGGCUGGGGGUUCCGGGCCCGCAAGGCUAAAACUCAAAGGAAUUGGCGGGGGGCCGCACAAGGGGCGGAGCAUGGGGAAUAAUUCGAUGGCGCGCGGGAGAACCUUACCCAGGCUUGAGCAUAUAACCGGACCGCUCCAGAGAUGUUUCUCCCCCUUUGGGGCCGGAAACCGUGUGGCGCGAGGUUGUCGCCCGCCCUUGCCGAGAGAUGUUGGGUUAAGUCCCGCAACGGGCGCAACCCCCGUCCCGUGUUGCCAGCGCGUGAUGGUGGGGACUCAUUGGAGACUGCGGGGGUCAACUCGGAGGAGGGUGUGGCAGACGUCGCCUCAUCAUGCCCCUUAUGUCUUGGGCUUCACGCAUGCUACAAUGGCCGGUACAAAGGGUUGCGAUACUGUGAGGUGGAGCUAAUCCCAAAAAGCCGGUCUCAGUUCGGAUUGAGGUCUGCAACUCGACCUCAUGAAGUCGGAGUCGCUAGUAAUCGCAGAUCAGCAACGCUGCGGUGAAUACGUUCCCGGGCCUUGUACACACCGCCCGUCAAGUCACGAAAGUCGGUAACACCCGAAGCCGGUGGCCCAACCCUUGUGGAGGAGCCGUCGAAGGUGGACCUCCCAAUUCCCA
RNAcentral lists this ribosomal RNA (1451 nucleotides) under Kocuria palustris. RNAcentral's name for it is "bacterial SSU rRNA". It matches the Rfam family "Bacterial small subunit ribosomal RNA". The record is from RNAcentral. Lineage: Bacteria; Bacillati; Actinomycetota; Actinomycetes; Micrococcales; Micrococcaceae.